Molecule: ribosomal RNA, 402 nt
Filed under: bacterium
Lineage: Bacteria
Description: partial 16S ribosomal RNA
Rfam family: Bacterial small subunit ribosomal RNA
Source: RNAcentral
UGGGGAAUUUUGCACAAUGGGGGAAACCCUGAUGCAGCGACGCCGCGUGAUUUAGAAGGCCUUCGGGUUGUAAAAAUCUUUUCUAUGGGAAGAAAAUGACAGUACCAUAGGAAUAAGGACCGGCUAAUUACGUGCCAGCAGCCGCGGUAAUACGUAAGGACCGAGCGUUGUACGGAAUCAUUGGGCGUAAAGGGUACGUAGGCGGGUAAGCAAGUUAGAAGUGAAAUCCUAUAGCUCAAGUAUAGUAAGCUUUUAAAACUGCUCAGCUUGAGGUAUGGAAGGGAAAGUGGAAUUCCUAGUGUAGCGGUGAAAUGCGCAGAUAUUAGGAGGAAUACCGGUGGCGAAGGCGACUUUCUGGCCAUAACCUGACGCUGAGGUACGAAAGCGUGGGUAGCAAACAGG